UACGAAGGGGGCUAGCGUUGUUCGGAAUCACUGGGCGUAAAGGGCGCGUAGGCGGCUUUAUAAGUCGGGGGUGAAAGCCUGUGGCUCAACCACAGAAUUGCCUUCGAUACUGUAGAGCUUGAGACCGGAAGCGGUAAGUGGAACUGCGAGUGUAGAGGUGAAAUUCGUAGAUAUUCGCAAGAACACCAGUGGCGAAGGCGGCUUACUGGUCCGGUUCUGACGCUGAGGCGCGAAAGCGUGGGGAGCAAACGGG
Molecule: ribosomal RNA, 253 nt
Filed under: uncultured bacterium
Lineage: Bacteria
Description: partial 16S ribosomal RNA
Rfam family: Bacterial small subunit ribosomal RNA
Source: RNAcentral